RNAcentral lists this ribosomal RNA (404 nucleotides) under Actinomycetes bacterium. RNAcentral describes it as "Actinobacteria bacterium partial 16S ribosomal RNA". It matches the Rfam family "Bacterial small subunit ribosomal RNA", at positions 355 to 776 of the family's 1533-position model. RNAcentral also lists the same sequence under 1 other name. Lineage: Bacteria; Bacillati; Actinomycetota; Actinomycetes. The record is from RNAcentral.
UGGGGAAUAUUGGACAAUGGGCGCAAGCCUGAUCCAGCCAUGCUGCGUGAGUGAUGAAGGCCCUAGGGUUGUAAAGCUCUUUCACCGGUGAAGAUAAUGACGGUAACCGGAGAAGAAGCCCCGGCUAACUUCGUGCCAGCAGCCGCGGUAAUACGAAGGGGGCUAGCGUUGUUCGGAUUUACUGGGCGUAAAGCGCACGUAGGCGGACUUUUAAGUCAGGGGUGAAAUCCCGGGGCUCAACCCCGGAACUGCCUUUGAUACUGGAAGUCUUGAGUAUGGUAGAGGUGAGUGGAAUUCCGAGUGUAGAGGUGAAAUUCGUAGAUAUUCGGAGGAACACCAGUGGCGAAGGCGGCUCACUGGACCAUUACUGACGCUGAGGUGCGAAAGCGUGGGGAGCAAACAGG